Molecule: long non-coding RNA, 318 nt
Filed under: Mytilus galloprovincialis (Mediterranean mussel)
Lineage: Eukaryota; Metazoa; Mollusca; Bivalvia; Mytilida; Mytilidae
Source: RNAcentral
AAUUGCUCAAAGGCAAAAAAAAACUUUUAAGUUCAUUAGACCACAUUCAUUCUGUGUCAGAAACCUAUGCUGUGUCAACUAUUUAAUUUUAGAUUUAAAAAGUUUGAAGAAGAAAUCUUUAAUUGAUUUGUAAAAUCUUGACAUUUGUUUUGUGUAAAAAAAAAACCAUGUAAUGUCAAAAAUUUGAUCACAAUCCAAAUUCAGAGCUGUAUCACGCUUGAAUGUUUUGUCCAUACUUGCCCCAACUGUUCAGGGUUCGACCUCUGCGGUCGUAUAAAGCUGCGCCCUGCGGAGCACCUGGUUGUUUUUGUUUAACAU